Molecule: long non-coding RNA, 242 nt
Organism: Zophobas morio
Lineage: Eukaryota; Metazoa; Arthropoda; Insecta; Coleoptera; Tenebrionidae
Exons: 3
Source: RefSeq, a predicted model, not a curated record
AUAAAGAAUGAUGUCAUUGUCAUGUAGAUUCAGUUUUAUUGUGUGGUUUUAUGUUAUGGCUUAAUAGUGAAUGCUGUAUUCGCCUGUAAUUAAUUAACCCCAGGAUAAUAUAAUUCGUUGUGCAGCAUUUGUGGCUUAAAUUAGUCUGGCCAUUUUACAACCAAAACACCAUCUCUCGACAAUUAUGUCGAAAUAAAAAACAGCAAGGUCAACGGAUGAUGUAAGCGAUGCAUAACUUCGUU